Long non-coding RNA from Vicia villosa (hairy vetch), 431 nucleotides. RefSeq lists it as uncharacterized. The transcript is spliced from 3 exons. The record is from RefSeq and is a predicted model, not a curated record. Lineage: Eukaryota; Viridiplantae; Streptophyta; Magnoliopsida; Fabales; Fabaceae.
CUGAAUGAUAACUUCUUUUCCCUUGUUGGUUGUGUAUGGAUUGGAAAGUGAGUUUAAGUAAUUUGAUGUUGAUUAUGCCCUUAAUGCUACUAUAAACACGUGCUGGUAUACAAGAAGUACAUUUUCUUUCGUUCAAUCCUACCGAUAAGCGGACAAAAAUUACUUAUACUGAUCAAGUGGGUAAAAUGCAUAGAGUAAGCCAAGGUGCACCAGAACAGCAUAAUACCAAAUACUACUACAGAAUUAGAAGUGGUGAUUCUUGAGAAUUUUUGUUUGAAGCACCUCCCGAAGUUGAACCAGAUGCCCCUUACAAAUUUGGGAUCAUUGUUGAUGAAGGAAGAUGAGAAAGACAUGAAUGCGGUCAAGAAUGUUGUUCCUUGGAGAUUGAGGAUCUUGUUCCUGUUCGGAAUGCAAAGAAGCAUAUUUGGGGG